Coregonus clupeaformis (lake whitefish) is the source of this 309-nucleotide long non-coding RNA. RefSeq lists it as uncharacterized. The record is from RefSeq and is a predicted model, not a curated record. Lineage: Eukaryota; Metazoa; Chordata; Actinopteri; Salmoniformes; Salmonidae. The transcript has 4 exons.
AGGUAAAACAGUGUUAAGCCCCGCCCCCAGCAGGUAAAACAGUGUUAAGCCCCGCCCCCAGCAGGUAAAACUGUGUUAAGCCCCGCCCCCAGCAGGAGACCAAGCAUUGACCCAGCAGGUAAAACAGUGUUAAGCCCCGCCCCCAGCAGGAGACCAAGCAUUGACCCAGCCGGUAAAACAGUGUUAAGCCCCGCCCCCAGCAGGUAAAACAGUGUUAAGCCCCGCCCCCAGCAGGAGACCAAGCAUUGACCCAGCCGGUAAAACAGUGUUAAGCCCCGCCCCCAGCAGGAGACCAAGCAUUGACCCAGC